Molecule: ribosomal RNA, 467 nt
Filed under: uncultured bacterium
Lineage: Bacteria
Description: partial 16S ribosomal RNA
Rfam family: Bacterial small subunit ribosomal RNA
Source: RNAcentral
GACGAACGCUGGCGGCGUGCUUAACACAUGCAAGUCGAACGGUGAAGCUCCAGCUUGCUGGAGUGGAUCAGUGGCGAACGGGUGAGUAACACGUGAGCAACCUGCCCCUGACUCUGGAAUAAGCGCUGGAAACGGCGUCUAAUACUGGAUACGAGAAGGGUCCGCAUGGGCACUUUCUGGAAAGUUUUUCGGUUGGGGAUGGGCUCGCGGCCUAUCAGCUUGUUGGUGAGGUAAUGGCUCACCAAGGCGACGACGGGUAGCCGGCCUGAGAGGGCGACCGGCCCCACGGGGCGUGGGGACGGGCCCGGGCCCCUACGGGGGGCAGGGGUGGGAAAUUUUGGAAAAUGGGCGAAGGCCGGGUGGAGGGACGCCGGGGGGGGGAGGACGGCCUUCGGGUUGUAAACCUCUUUCGGCAGGGAAGAAGCGAAAGGAAGGGAACCGGAAAAAAAAGCCCGGGUAAACUACGG